CAGCCGCCGCGGGAAUACGGAGGGAGCUAGCGUUGUUCGGAAUUACUGGGCGUAAAGCGCACGUAGGCGGUUAUUCAAGUCAGAGGUGAAAGCCCGGGGCUCAACCCCGGAACUGCCUUUGAAACUAGAUGACUGGAAUCUUGGAGAGGUCAGUGGAAUUCCGAGUGUAGAGGUGAAAUUCGUAGAUAUUCGGAAGAACACCAGUGGCGAAGGCGACUGACUGGACAAGUAUUGACGCUGAGGUGCGAAAGCGUGGGGAGCAAACAGGAUUAGAUACCCCUGUAGUCCCUGUCUCUUAUAC
Molecule: ribosomal RNA, 301 nt
Filed under: uncultured bacterium
Lineage: Bacteria
Description: partial 16S ribosomal RNA
Rfam family: Bacterial small subunit ribosomal RNA
Source: RNAcentral